AGCAGGGGAAGGAGAAACCCUUCUCCUGUAACAUAACUCAAGAAUCACUUCAAUUAAGGGUGUUAUCAAGAAAGAAUCGGAUGCAUGGGUCCAAGAAAUCUCUAAUCUAAGCAUAUUGAACAUAAGGAUCAUGUCAAGAUGGGGGAAACAUGGAAGGCUACGGAAAGGAUAUGAGGAAGCAUGCACGAGACGGGCACUCGAGGCAUGAGAUUGUCAGAUUCAUGAAGGAAUGAAACCUGGUUUGGAUAAAGAGUAUUUAAGAAAGCGCUUGGACAAUUCCACGUUUACUUCAUAGAAUGCUUUACGAAUUUCUAUUAUAUGGUUUAAUGUUGUAUGGUGUGUUAAUGACUAAUGGUUGGGUUGUACGUGGUGUCCACGGGUAUCGCUCGGGUUUCCUCUACCACUAGCGAAGUGAAGCAGACAUAGAUCGAGUUGAGAGCAAGGAUUGUACGGAAAAGAAAGGUCACAUAGUUUGUUUUAAACUGGUCAUGAAGCCUUGAUAUAAUGUAACAUUGUGAAA
This is a long non-coding RNA of Helianthus annuus (common sunflower), 520 nucleotides long. RefSeq lists it as uncharacterized. The transcript is spliced from 3 exons. NCBI's taxonomy places the organism in Eukaryota, Viridiplantae, Streptophyta, Magnoliopsida, Asterales, Asteraceae. The record is from RefSeq and is a predicted model, not a curated record.